This 532-nucleotide ribosomal RNA is filed under the name Opisthacidius sp. 00052199. RNAcentral describes it as "partial 16S ribosomal RNA". It matches the Rfam family "Bacterial large subunit ribosomal RNA", at positions 1808 to 2613 of the family's 2925-position model. Lineage: Eukaryota; Metazoa; Arthropoda; Insecta; Hemiptera; Reduviidae. The record is from RNAcentral.
CAAAAACAUGUCCUUUAGUGAUUUAUUUAAGGUCUAACCUGCCCAAUGAGGUAUUGAAUGGCCGCGGUAUUUUAACCGUGCUAAGGUAGCAUAAUAAUUUGUCUUUUAAUUGGGGGCUGGAAUGAAAGGUUGGACGAGGCAUAAACUUUCUUUAAUUUAAUUGAAUGAAUUUAAUUUUUGAGUUAAAAAGCUUGGAUUUUUUUAUUAGACGAGAAGACCCUAUAGAUCUUUACAGUUGUAGUGAUUUAGUAAUUUAGAGGAUUAUUUAUUUUAAUCAUUAUUAUUGUUUUGUUGGGGUGACAGUGGGAUUUUUUUAACUCUCAUUUAUAUUUUUCAUUUAUAAGUGUUUUUAUGAUCCAUAAUUUAUGAUUAUAAGAUUAAGUUACCUUAGGGAUAACAGCGUAAUUUCUUCGGAGAGUUCAUAUCGAUGAUGAAGUUUGCGACCUCGAUGUUGGAUUAAAAUUAGGAGUGGAUGUAGCAGUUUACUUGCUGGGUCUGUUCGACCCUUGAAUUUUUACAUGAUCUGAGUUCA